CAAAUGAAUUGACGGGGCCCGCACAAGCAGUGGAGUAUGUGGUUAAUUCGAAGCAACGCGAAGAACCUUACCAGGGCUUGACAUCCCCUGACCGCGUAUGAAAGUACGUUUUCACCCUCGGGUGACAGGGAGACAGGUGGUGCAUGGUUGUCGUCAGCUCGUGUCGUGAGAUGUUGGGUUAAGUCCCGCAACGAGCGCAACCCCUACGUUUAGUUGCUAACGCGUGAAGGCGAGCACUCUAGACGAACUGCCGUUGACAAAACGGAGGAAGGUGGGAUGACGUCAAAUCAUCAUGCCCCUUAUGUUCUGGGCUACACACGUGCUACAAUGGCCGGUACAGACGGACGCAAAGCCGCGAGGUGGAGCAAAUCCUAAAAAGCCGGUCUCAGUUCGGAUUGCAGGCUGCAAUUCGCCUGCAUGAAGUCGGAAUCGCUAGUAAUCGCAGGUCAGCAUACUGCGGUGAAUACGUUCCCGGGCCUU
This 480-nucleotide ribosomal RNA is filed under the name uncultured Pelotomaculum sp. RNAcentral describes it as "bacterial SSU rRNA". It matches the Rfam family "Bacterial small subunit ribosomal RNA", at positions 902 to 1382 of the family's 1533-position model. The record is from RNAcentral. Lineage: Bacteria; Bacillati; Bacillota; Clostridia; Eubacteriales; Desulfotomaculaceae.